This is a long non-coding RNA of Coffea eugenioides, 1884 nucleotides long. RefSeq lists it as uncharacterized. The transcript is spliced from 4 exons. Lineage: Eukaryota; Viridiplantae; Streptophyta; Magnoliopsida; Gentianales; Rubiaceae. The record is from RefSeq and is a predicted model, not a curated record.
GGUUAUGGGUACUUUUUUUUUGUAAGCUGCAAAGGGACAGAAGGUAUAUGUUUAAACCACAUGGAGUUUUUGAGUCAUGCAGCUAGAUUAUCCAGGGUAAAAAAUAUUAGUGAAUACUUCUUGCUUCCAAUUGAGUUCCGAUGGUGUAGAUUGUCGUUUCCUUUAAUUUUUUUAGGCUGUUUUUUACAUGUUAGAAACUGAAGGUCUUAAGAAUUUUUCUGUCUGCCUCUCUAUUUUGUUGUAUUUUAAGGGAGAUCUAGACAUUCUUUGUUUAAUGUUGAAGCACUUUGAAAAUCAAAAAAUAAGGACAAAAAGGCAUCGAAUACCAGUUAUUUUUAUAGAAGUUAAAUAGCAUAAAAUUGAUUACCAGUUAUUUGCACAUGUUUAUAUCAUGCUUGAAACCUACUCUGAUAAAAAAAAAAAAUGAAAAGAAGCCAGUAGAUGAUUGACUAGAUAUUUUGGCCUUAGAUAAUAUAGGUGAUUGAAUCACAAACUCCUGGUAGUUUGAACACUAUUCCAUCUGUCCUUUAUGGCUUAUUUUAUCUGCUCAUAUGCCUAUUCAUUCGAUGGGUUAUGGGUACUUUUUUUUGUAAGCCGCAAAGGGAUAGAAGGUAUAUGUCUAAACCACAUGGAGUUUUUGAGUCAUGCAACUAGAUUAUCCAGGGCAAAAGUAUUAGUGAAUUGCUUACUUUUAGCACUUUGAUUUAGUUUACUUUAGAUUUUCUGUCGUGCGGUCUGUUUACACUGUUGAAUUAUACAAUUUAUCUUUUCUUGCUUGUUUUUGCACUAGCUGUCCUUAGUUAUGCUAGAAAUACUUACUGAAAGACAUCUAGCUUAGUUUCAGUUAUGCUGCCCAGGCAUGCUCUGUAGUAAUUUGUCUAUUGAAUGAUGGUAUUCACUUAGAUGGAAAUUCUCAAAAAAAAAAAGAAAAGAAAAUGGACUUGUCUCAGUUAAUACAGACUUAGCAUUGAUUACCGAUAGUUUCUUUAGUUGUUGAAUGGCAAUAAAUUGUUGCUUUCCCUCAUUUAGGCUUUGAUUUUUCAUUCGUAAGAAUAUGCAUGACCCACUUUUGGUUUCUUUGUAUACCAUCAGCCUUCAGUUUGAGGUACAGGUACUCUUUUGUAAGUUACAAGAGUCAGAAAAUAUAUUGUUUAACUGUAAGAGGUCGAGUUGUCUCCUAUGGCAAAAAUAACUUACCAGACUGCAACUUUCUUGUCCAAUUCCCGUACUUCACUUUCAUUUCAUCGUCAUAUUGGUUUUUCCCAUUGUUGGUUUUGCAGUAUACUAUUUGCUAGUCAACAGUGUCUCUACUUGUUUUUGUCUUCCCUCCUUUAUCAAUGAGGAACUCCCGAAUGAAAGUCCUGCCUAUCUUAAGCGAAUGGUUUCUUUUCCCUCCAGGGGAAGUCAUCUGGGUACGCAUUGUUGUUAAAAAGUCUAUUCUCAUUCUAUGAUUCUUUAUGCAUGAUCUUCGUCUACUUCAAGCUCAAGAUACUCUUUCGAUGGGUUGCAAACUGUAAAAAGUGAAGUUGUCUCCUAAGGCAAUUAGAGCACUUAUAUACAAGGUGGUGACACAAGGAACUUUGGGAUUUAAAUUGAAUGUCUAGAUGGUGACACGAGGAACUAAGUAUUGCAUCUUUUUUGGAUUCUAUCUAAUCUAGGUGAGUCACUUGAGAUUUUAUCUAUGGGCUUGUUAAAAUCUGGAGUAUUACCAAUUAUUUGGUGGUAGGCAAGAUGCAUUAUGGUGAAAUAAAUGUAGAAAAGAAAAAUUGUCUUUAGAAUCUGAAAGUAAGCUUCUAGAAAUACCAGAUUUACAAGAAAGCUCAUUGUAGCAAGGUCCAUUGGAGAGGUUGUUUUUUACCAUUCUACAAGUUUUAAGCUAGAGUA